This 278-nucleotide ribosomal RNA is filed under the name uncultured soil bacterium. RNAcentral's name for it is "partial 16S ribosomal RNA". It matches the Rfam family "Bacterial small subunit ribosomal RNA", at positions 26 to 330 of the family's 1533-position model. The record is from RNAcentral.
AGAACGAACGCUGGCGGCAUGCUUAACACAUGCAAGUCGAACGAGACCUUCGGGUCUAGUGGCGCACGGGUGCGUAACGCGUGGGAAUCUGCCCUUAGGUACGGAAUAACUCAGAGAAAUUUGUGCUAAUACCGUAUGAUGUCGAAAGACCAAAGAUUUAUCGCCUAAGGAUGAGCCCGCGUAAGAUUAGCUUGUUGGUGAGGUAAAAGCUCACCAAGGCGACGAUCUUUAGCUGGUCUGAGAGGAUGAUCGAGCCACACGUGGGACUGGACGACCGA